UUCAUUUGCCUCCCAGCCUACA
This 22-nucleotide microRNA is filed under the name Homo sapiens (human). Its description in RNAcentral is "hsa-miR-664b-3p". Its record names the gene hsa-miR-664b-3p. The record is from miRBase by way of RNAcentral. Lineage: Eukaryota; Metazoa; Chordata; Mammalia; Primates; Hominidae.